AGUGAACGCUGGCGGUAGGCCUAACACAUGCAAGUCGAACGGCAGCACAGUAAGAGCUUGCUCUUACGGGUGGCGAGUGGCGGACGGGUGAGGAAUACAUCGGAAUCUACUUUUUCGUGGGGGAUAACGUAGGGAAACUUACGCUAAUACCGCAUACGACCUACGGGUGAAAGCAGGGGAUCUUCGGACCUUGCGCGAUUGAAUGAGCCGAUGUCGGAUUAGCUAGUUGGCGGGGUAAAGGCCCACCAAGGCGACGAUCCGUAGCUGGUCUGAGAGGAUGAUCAGCCACACUGUAACUGAGACACGGUCCAGACUCCUACGGGAGGCAGCAGUGGGGAAUAUUGUACAAUGGGCGCAAGCCUGAUCCAGCCAUACCGCGUGGGUGAAGAAGGCCUUCGGGUUGUAAAGCCCUUUUGUUGGGAAAGAAAAGCAGCAGGUUAAUACCCCGCUGUUCUGACGGUACCCAAAGAAUAAGCACCGGCUAACUUCGUG
Molecule: ribosomal RNA, 492 nt
Filed under: uncultured bacterium
Lineage: Bacteria
Description: partial 16S ribosomal RNA
Rfam family: Bacterial small subunit ribosomal RNA
Source: RNAcentral